Molecule: unclassified non-coding RNA, 587 nt
Filed under: uncultured Tomentella
Lineage: Eukaryota; Fungi; Basidiomycota; Agaricomycetes; Thelephorales; Thelephoraceae
Description: partial contains 18S rRNA, ITS1, 5.8S rRNA, ITS2 and 28S rRNA
Rfam family: 5.8S ribosomal RNA (bases 161-315)
Source: RNAcentral
CAUGUGCACGCUCUGUUUGCACAUCCACUCACACCUGUUCACCUUCUGUAGUUCUGUGGCCUGGGGGGCUCUGCCCUCCUGCUGUGGUUCUGCAUAUUUACACACACACACUGUGGAACAGUCUUAUAUAAUAUGUGCCGCGCUUUACGCAGUAUAUAACAACUUUUUCCAAAAGAUAUCUCGUGUCUCGCAUCAAUAAAAAAAACACAGAAAAGCGAUAUAUAAAGUGAGAUUUGCAAAUUUCUGAGAAUCAUAAAAUCUUAGAACACAUUUUGCCCUUUUUGUAUAUUCAUAGGGACGUGUGUGUGAGAAUAUCAAGAACACCACAUCUCACGUGUUAUAAUGAGAAGAGUGUAGACUGUGGGUGUUGCGGUGGCGUGAUAUCAGCUCCCAUAAAAUAUAACAUUAUAACAGCGUGUGGUGGUAUACACGUGUGAGAUAUAUAUAUACUCGUGUGUUUGUGCCUCAUAUAAUCCUCAACUGUGGAUGCUCUCUAGAUCAUAAAUGUGUCUCUCCGGGGAGAAGACAUCUCUGAGAGUGUGAGAUCUCAUAUCGUGUAAGAAUACGCGCAGAUUAUACACAUAUUA